Molecule: transfer RNA, 72 nt
Filed under: Stegodyphus mimosarum
Lineage: Eukaryota; Metazoa; Arthropoda; Arachnida; Araneae; Eresidae
Rfam family: tRNA
About the family: Transfer RNA (tRNA) molecules are approximately 80 nucleotides in length. Their secondary structure includes four short double-helical elements and three loops (D, anti-codon, and T loops). Further hydrogen bonds mediate the characteristic L-shaped molecular structure. tRNAs have two regions of fundamental functional importance: the anti-codon, which is responsible for specific mRNA codon recognition, and the 3' end, to which the tRNAs corresponding amino acid is attached (by aminoacyl-tRNA synthetases). tRNAs cope with the degeneracy of the genetic code in two manners: having more than one tRNA (with a specific anti-codon) for a particular amino acid; and 'wobble' base-pairing, i.e. permitting non-standard base-pairing at the 3rd anti-codon position.
Source: Rfam by way of RNAcentral
GCCUUCGUAGUGUAGUGGUCAUCACGCUCAACCCGUAUCGAGAGGUCCGGGGUUUGAAUCCCGGCGAGAGCA